Molecule: ribosomal RNA, 484 nt
Filed under: uncultured bacterium
Lineage: Bacteria
Description: partial 16S ribosomal RNA
Rfam family: Bacterial small subunit ribosomal RNA
Source: RNAcentral
AUUGAACGCUGGCGGCAGGCCUAACACAUGCAAGUCGAGCGGAUGAAGGGAGCUUGCUCCUGGAUUCAGCUGCGGACGGGUGAGUAAUGCCUAGGAAUCUGCCUGGUAGUGGGGGAUAACGUCCGUAAACGGGCGCUAAUACCGCAUACGUCCUGAGGGAGAAAGUGGGGGAUCUUCGGACCUCACGCUAUCAGAUGAGCCUAGGUCGUAUUAGCUAGUUGGUGGGGUAAAGGCCUACCAAGGCGACGAUCCGUAACUGGUCUGAGAGGAUGAUCAGUCACACUGGAACUGAGACACGGUCCAGACUCCUACGGGAGGCAGCAGUGGGGAAUAUUGGACAAUGGGCGAAAGCCUGAUCCAGCAAUGCCGCGUGUGUGAAGAAGGUCUUCGGAUUGUAAAGCACUUUAAGUUGGGAGGAAGGGAAGUAAGUUAAUCCCUUGCUGUUUUGACGUUACCAACAGAAAAAGCACCGGCUAACUUCGUG